GAAACGGGAAGAGCCCAGCGCUGAAUCCUGCGGCCCCGGCGGGCCGCCGGGAAAUGUAGCGUUCGGGAGGAGAGUUAUACAUACACGCGCGGUCAUUAGYCACGGCUGCCUGUCCAAGUUCAUCUUGAACGGGGCCCGCUUACCCGCAGAGGGUGCNAGGCCCGUGGUGACGGUAGCCGGCCGCGACGGUCUCUCUCCCUAGAGUCGGGUUGCUUGAGAGUGCAGCCCUAAGUGGGUGGUAAACUCCAUCUAAGGCUAAAUACUACCACGAGACCGAUAGCGAACAAGUACCGUGAGGGAAAGUUGAAAAGAACUUUGAAGAGAGAGUUAAAGAGUACGUGAAACCGUUCAGGGGUAAACCUGUGGAACUCAAACGAGCGAACGGGGAGAUCAUCGUGUCUUCCGUCGGGGCUCGCGCCUCGUGUCACACCUCCGCCUUCGGCUUUCGGGUCUGGGCGGGGCGGUGCGCGGGUGCGCAGUCGGGCCCCCGGAGCGCGUGCACUUCUCCCUUAGUAUAACACCGCGACCCGUCGCGUCGCGGUCGAAUGCGCCGUGCGGUUGUCCCGCCUCGCUCUGCGAGGCGGAGCCGCGGCGUCCACGGCCGCGACGUACAUUUACGCAGCGACGGUAGAGAACGAGGAUCGCGUCCGCCCCCAGCGGGCGUCCGUCGCUCCGCAGCGGCUCCCUUCGCGUGAUCCCCGGCGCCUCGUGCGUCGCGGGCGUCGCGCGUCGGGCUGUCGUGGUUAGCGGAGCGCUCUCGGACGGGACGCGCCCCGGUCGGCGGUGGUUUUGUUUUGGGCACUCACAGGACCCGUCUUGAAACACGGACCAAGGAGUCUAGCAUGUGCGCGAGUCAUUGGGAACACUGAUAAACCCAGAGGCGAAAUGAAAGUGAAAGGUCGGCCUCGAGCCGGCCGCAGGGAAGAUGCGCGGGCGGCGUCAGCCGCCCCGCCGCAUUCCCGAGGCGUUUCGAGAAAGCCCCCGUGUGAUUAUCGAGACGCACUGAGAGCGUACACGCUGGGACCCGAAAGAUGGUGAACUAUGCCUGGUCAGGUCGAAGUCAGGGGAAACCCUGAUGGAGGACCGAAGCGAUUCUGACGUGCAAAUCGAUCGUCCGAACUGGGUAUAGGGGCGAAAGACUAAUCGAACUAUCUAAUAGCUGGUUCCAUCCGAAGUUUCCCUCAGGAUAGCUGGCGCUCGAGAAACAUGACGGCGUAUUUAUAUGUCGCCAUUCGCACAGUCUCAUCCGGUAAAGCGAAUGAUUAGAGGCAUUGGGGCCGAAAUGGCCUCAACCUAUUCUCAAACUUUAAAUGGGUGAGAUCUCCUUCUUGCUCGAAGAUGAAGUAGGAGCUCGGAUGGGAGUGCCAAGUGGGCCAAUUUUGGUAAGCAGAACUGGCGCUGUGGGAUGAACCAAACGUCGAGUUAAGGCGCCCAAUGAACGCUCAUCGGAUACCAUAAAAGGCGUUGGUCGCUCAGGACAGCAGGACGGUGGCCAUGGAAGUCGGAAUCCGCUAAGGAGUGUGUAACAACUCACCUGCCGAAGCAACCAGCCCUGAAAAUGGAUGGCGCUGUAGCGUUCAGCCUAUACUCGACCGUUGCAGGCAAGUGGGGCGUUCGUGCGGCUCCGGCCGUGGCGAUCGUUUUGAAGCCGCAACGAGUAGGAUGGCCGCGGCGGUGUGCGCAGAAGGGUCUGGGCGUGAGCCCGCCUGGAGCCUCCGUCGGCGCAGAUCUUGGUGGUAGUAGCAAAUACUCAAGCGAGGUCUUUGAGGGCUGA
RNAcentral lists this ribosomal RNA (1774 nucleotides) under Thremma anomalum. RNAcentral's name for it is "partial large subunit ribosomal RNA". The record is from RNAcentral. Lineage: Eukaryota; Metazoa; Arthropoda; Insecta; Trichoptera; Uenoidae.